This 98-nucleotide ribosomal RNA is filed under the name uncultured bacterium. RNAcentral describes it as "partial 16S ribosomal RNA". It matches the Rfam family "Bacterial small subunit ribosomal RNA", at positions 1384 to 1482 of the family's 1533-position model. The record is from RNAcentral.
UACACACCGCCCGUCACACCAUGGGAGUUGACUGCACCAGAAGUAGGUAGCCUAACCGCAAGGGGGCGCUUACCACGGUGUGGUCAAUGACUGGGGUG